AAAGGUUUUGGGAAAGCCUGCCGGAGAGGGUGAAAGCCCCGUAAGCGAAAGGAAAGCCAGCUGAGCGGUAUCCAGAGUACAUCGAGACACGAGAAACCUUGAUGGAAUGAGCGGGGACCACCCCGUAAGCCUAAAUACUCCUUAGUGACCGAUAGCGCAUAGUACUGUGAAGGAAAGGUGAAAAGGACCCCGGGAGGGGAGUGAAAGAGAACCUGAAACCCUGUGUUUACAAGCUGUGGGACAUCUUUACAUGAUGAACCGCGUACUUUUUGUAGAACGGUCCGGCGAGUUGCGGAUGCCGGCAAGGUUAAGCACUUAAGGUGUGGAGCCGAAGGGAAACCAAGUCUGAAGAGGGCGCAUAUAGUCAGUAUCCGCAGACCCGAAACCGGGUGAUCUACCCAUGUCCAGGUUGAAGUUGCCGUAAAAGGCAAUGGAGGACCGAACGCACAUCCGUUGAAAAGGGUGGCGAUGAGGUGUGGGUAGGGGAGAAAUUCCAAUCGAACCCGGAGAUAGCUGGUUCUCCUCGAAAUAGCUUUAGGGCUAGCCUCGUAUUAGUCUGGUGGAGGUAGAGCACUGAAUUUCCUAGGGGGCGUCAAAGCCUACCGAAGAAUAUCAAACUGCGAAUGGCGGACAGAUGAUGCCAGGGAGUCAGACUGCACGAGAUAAGUUGGGUGGUCAAAAGGGAAAGAGCCCAGACCUACAGCUAAGGUCCCAAAGUGCGUGUUAAGUGGAAAAGGAUGUGGGAUUUCGAAGACAACUAGGAUGUUGGCUCAGAAGCAGCCAUACAUUCAAAGAGUGCGUAACAGCUCACUAGUCGAGAGGUCCUGCGCCGAAAAUGUCCGGGGCUGAAACACAACACCGAAGCUGCGGAAUUGCGAAUGCAAUUGGUAGAGGAGCAUUCUUAAUACCGACGAAGCUGUACCGGAAGGAGCAGUGGAGGGAUAAGAAGAGAGAAUGCCGGAAUGAGUAGCGAGAGAGAGGUGGGAAUCCUCUCGGCCGAAUAUCCAAGGUUUCCAGAGUAAAGCUGAUCUGCUCUGGGUAAGUCGGGGCCUAAGGCGAGGUCAAAAGACGUAGCCGAUGGACAACAGGUUUAGAUUCCUGUACCGCAUAUAAACAGAACUGUGGGGACGCAUGGGGAGAGCAUGGGCCGGGAAUGGAAAUACCGGUGCAAGCGAAGGAGGUGUGCAGCCGGCAAAUCCGCUGCAUGAGCCGAAAGCGUGACGCGGAGCGAAAUGAAAGUAGCGAAGCAUGUGAGCCCUGUGCCGAGAAAAGCCGCUAUUGUUUUAUAUGUGCCCGUACCGUAAACCGACACAGGUGGAUGAGGAGAGAAUCCUAAGGCCGGCGGAAGAAGUAUUGUUAAGGAACUCGGCAAAAUGACCCCGUAACUUCGGGAGAAGGGGUGCCCACGGGAGUGGGCCGCAGAGAAUAGGCUCAAGCAACUGUUUAGCAAAAACACAGGUCUAUGCGAAACCGAAAGGUGAGGUAUAUGGGCUGACGCCUGCCCGGUGCUGGAAGGUUAAGAGGAGAGGUUAGCGCAAGCGAAGCUUUGAAUUUAAGCCCCAGUAAACGGCGGCCGUAACUAUAACGGUCCUAAGGUAGCGAAAUUCCUUGUCGGGUAAGUUCCGACCCGCACGAAAGGCGUAAUGAUUUGAGCACUGUCUCGACAAUGCAUCCGGUGAAAUUGAAGUACCAGUGAAGAUGCUGGUUACCCGCGCCAGGACGGAAAGACCCCAUGGAGCUUUACUCCAGUUUGGUACUGGGAUUCGGUACUGCACGUACAGGAUAGGUGGGAGACUAAGAAACUUGAACGCCAGUUUGAGUGGAGUCGCUGUUGGGAUACCACCCCUGCAGUAUUGGAUUUCUAACCAGUCACCGUGAUCCGGUGAUGGGACAAUGCCAGGCGGGGAGUUUGACUGGGGCGGUCGCCUCCGAAAGGGUAUCGGAGGCGC
RNAcentral lists this ribosomal RNA (1949 nucleotides) under human gut metagenome. RNAcentral describes it as "bacterial LSU rRNA". It matches the Rfam family "Bacterial large subunit ribosomal RNA", at positions 336 to 2309 of the family's 2925-position model. The record is from RNAcentral.